RNAcentral lists this ribosomal RNA (253 nucleotides) under uncultured bacterium. RNAcentral describes it as "partial 16S ribosomal RNA". It matches the Rfam family "Bacterial small subunit ribosomal RNA", at positions 524 to 776 of the family's 1533-position model. The record is from RNAcentral.
UACGUAGGGUGCAAGCGUUGUCCGGAAUUAUUGGGCGUAAAGAGCGUGUAGGCGGCCCGACCAGUCCGCUGUGAAAGUCCAGGGCUCAACCCUGGAAUGCCGGUGGAUACUGUCGGGCUAGAGUCCGGAAUGGGCGAGUGGAAUUCCUGGUGUAGCGGUGAAAUGCGCAGAUAUCAGGAGGAACACCAAUGGCGAAGGCAGCUCGCUGGGACGUGACUGACGCUGAGACGCGAAAGCGUGGGGAGCAAACAGG